CUUAGCUUCCUCUUCCUUGAUACUCGUAUCUAAUAACAAUCUAACAAUGUCAGUAUUGGAAGCUCCUAUUGUCCCAGUAUCCAAAGCCUUUUGAUGGCUUAAGCAGUCAGCAGCAGCAGAGAGUGUGCGGAAAGUUUAUUAUGUUUCAAUCAAGGUCGGAAAGUGCAAAGGCUUCCCUGAACAACAUUUGAUCAGCGACAUGCUGUCUACAUGAUUUCAUGAAGUGAGGCUGCUUUUUGACAUCUGCGAAUGUGGCUGAUUACAUGGGAUUCAAAUAAGUCGAUAACCUUGAUUGACAACGGCCAUGGUUUGACAGCAUAUUACAGAUGGAAUAUGAUGACUGACAAUUAAUGGGCAUCUGAUAAUGUGAAGGGAACAUUUAUUCAGAUCAUCUACCCUGGACUUAUACCCAUGAUGUCUGUCACUGCAAAAUUGUUCUGAUGGAAGUGUGGCAACCUUUGAUCAGGAUUUAAAUUGAGGCUUAUUUUUCUUGGCAUUUCAGUUCAGAUGCAGAUCCAUGGUACCAAAGAGAAAGAGAGAGUUCAUAGAACAUAGAAGGAGGCGAUGUGGAUAAUUGUUUGUGCAAAUGUUUUUGAAUCAACUGUACAAAUGGUCUCACACCUUCACUCUUUCCCUCUACUCUGUAAUUCCCCUUUGAAAUUUAUAGUUCAGUCUGCUUGAGAUUAAAAUCA
This is a long non-coding RNA of Rhincodon typus (whale shark), 692 nucleotides long. RefSeq lists it as uncharacterized. Lineage: Eukaryota; Metazoa; Chordata; Chondrichthyes; Orectolobiformes; Rhincodontidae. The record is from RefSeq and is a predicted model, not a curated record. The transcript has 4 exons.